Molecule: transfer RNA, 74 nt
Filed under: Candidatus Woesearchaeota archaeon
Lineage: Archaea; Nanobdellati; Candidatus Woesearchaeota
Description: tRNA-Arg
Rfam family: tRNA
About the family: Transfer RNA (tRNA) molecules are approximately 80 nucleotides in length. Their secondary structure includes four short double-helical elements and three loops (D, anti-codon, and T loops). Further hydrogen bonds mediate the characteristic L-shaped molecular structure. tRNAs have two regions of fundamental functional importance: the anti-codon, which is responsible for specific mRNA codon recognition, and the 3' end, to which the tRNAs corresponding amino acid is attached (by aminoacyl-tRNA synthetases). tRNAs cope with the degeneracy of the genetic code in two manners: having more than one tRNA (with a specific anti-codon) for a particular amino acid; and 'wobble' base-pairing, i.e. permitting non-standard base-pairing at the 3rd anti-codon position.
Source: RNAcentral
GCCCUCUUAGUCCAGCCUGGAUAAGAUAUGGCCCUGCGGAGGCCAUGACCCGGGUUCAAAUCCCGGAGAGGGCA